CCCGGUGCCUGCCACGUAGUAGGUGCUUAGUAUGUGGGGACUAGUACUGUUAUCUGCUGAAGCCCCCAGCCUGGUGCCUGGCACAUAGUAGGUGCUCAUUAUGUGGGGACUAGUACUGUUACCUGAUGAAGCCCCCAGCCUGGUGCCUGGCACAUAGUAGGUGCUCAUUAUGUGGGGACUAGUACUGUUACCUGAUAAAGUCCCCAGCCCGGUGCCUGGCACGUAGUAGGUGCUCAUUAUGUGGGGACUAGUACUGUUACCUGAUGAAGCCCCCAGCCCGGUGCCUGGCACGUAGUAGGUGCUCAUUAUGUGGGGACUAGUACUGUUACCUGAUAAAGUCCCCAGCCCGGUGCCUGGCACGUAGUAGGUACUCAUGUGGGGACUAGUACUGUUACCUGAUGAAGCCCCCAGCCCGGUGCCUGGUACGUAGUAGGUGCUUAGUAUGUGGGGACUAGUACUGUUAUCUGAUGA
Molecule: long non-coding RNA, 471 nt
Organism: Herpailurus yagouaroundi (jaguarundi)
Lineage: Eukaryota; Metazoa; Chordata; Mammalia; Carnivora; Felidae
Exons: 4
Source: RefSeq, a predicted model, not a curated record